CGGACCUCAUAAAGUGCGUCGUAGUCCGGAUUGGAGUCUGCAACUCGACUCCAUGAAGUCGGAAUCGCUAGUAAUCGUGGAUCAGAAUGCCACGGUGAAUACGUUCCCGGGCCUUGUACACACCGCCCGUCACACCAUGGGAGUGGGUUGCAAAAGAAGUAGGUAGCUUAACCUUCGGGAGGGCGCUUACCACUUUGUGAUUCAUGACUGGGGUGAAGUCGUAACAAGGUAACCGUAGGGGAACCUGCGGUUGGAUCACCUCCUUACCUUAAAGAAGC
This 278-nucleotide ribosomal RNA is filed under the name Salmonella enterica. RNAcentral's name for it is "partial 16S ribosomal RNA". It matches the Rfam family "Bacterial small subunit ribosomal RNA", at positions 1268 to 1533 of the family's 1533-position model. RNAcentral also lists the same sequence under 1 other name. The record is from RNAcentral. Lineage: Bacteria; Pseudomonadati; Pseudomonadota; Gammaproteobacteria; Enterobacterales; Enterobacteriaceae.